GCGAGUGGCGAACGGGUGAGUAAUAUAUCGGAACGUGCCCUGGAGUGGGGGAUAACGCGGCGAAAGUUGCGCUAAUACCGCAUACGAUCUAAGGAUGAAAGCGGGGGAUUCGCAAGAACCUCGUGCUCCUGGAGUGGCCGAUAUCUGAUUAGCUAGUUGGUGGGGUAAAGGCCUACCAAGGCAUCGAUCAGUAGCUGGUCUGAGAGGACGACCAGCCACACUGGAACUGAGACACGGUCCAGACUCCUACGGGAGGCAGCAGUGGGGAAUUUUGGACAAUGGGCGCAAGCCUGAUCCAGCAAUGCCGCGUGAGUGAAGAAGGCCUUCGGGUUGUAAAGCUCUUUUGUCAGGGAAGAAACGGUUGAGGCUAAUAUCCUUUACUAAUGACGGUACCUGAAGAAUAAGCACCGGCUAACUACGUGCCAGCAGCCGCGGUAAUACGUAGGGUGCAAGCGUUAAUCGGAAUUACUGGGCGUAAAGCGUGCGCAGG
RNAcentral lists this ribosomal RNA (490 nucleotides) under uncultured Oxalobacteraceae bacterium. RNAcentral's name for it is "bacterial SSU rRNA". It matches the Rfam family "Bacterial small subunit ribosomal RNA", at positions 91 to 575 of the family's 1533-position model. Lineage: Bacteria; Pseudomonadati; Pseudomonadota; Betaproteobacteria; Burkholderiales; Oxalobacteraceae. The record is from RNAcentral.